Molecule: long non-coding RNA, 4806 nt
Organism: Mustela erminea (ermine)
Lineage: Eukaryota; Metazoa; Chordata; Mammalia; Carnivora; Mustelidae
Exons: 2
Source: RefSeq, a predicted model, not a curated record
UUCCCACUCGCCCUGCUUGUGUUCCCUCUCUCUGUCAAAUACAUAAUAAAAUACAUAAAUACAUAAAUAAAAAAUCUUAAACAAGGGCAGGUGGAAUACUCAUAUAUUCUAAUUUUAGAAGCUUGAUUAAAGGUUUUCUCUACAAACCUUAAUUUAUAACGAAAGCAAAAAGGGUAGCUAGAAAAAGGCAGCUAGAAAACCACUAAUGGGAAGGUAUUAGAUUAACUAACAUCUUACUAACACAAGAGUAAAACCCUAAGCAUGUUGAACUAUGCCACACUAAAAAGCUGUACUCAGCAUAUUGAAAAUGUACGCCCUACCUUAAAACCCUCCAUCAGAAAUAAUUCUUUAAAAAAUUCAGUCAGGCAUAAUGGAUUAUUUAGAAUUAGAAAGUCAGGUUUUAAGUUUCCACGGUUCUGGCUAGAAUACAGUAUUCUGUUCAAAUGGGAGAAGAGUAGGAUAGAAAAAAAUUAAAUUUGAGGUAAAGUACAAAAACACUAUUUAAAAUGUUAGAGUGGGUUUUGGUUAUAGAUGGAAUCCUGAACUGAGAAUAACACGGAGUACCAGGAAACUUCAAUGACCUAAGCUCUGCUUUUUUUAUUUUGGCACUGCUGUUCAGGGUCACUGUGUCUGCUUACAGCUAACUGUUGCGUUAGAAACAGGGUAUAGGAAGAGCUUCUAUACAGGGGCACCUGAGUGGCUCAAGACAUCCAACCCUUGGUUUCAGCUCAAGUCAUGAUCUCAUGGGUUAAGGGAUCAAGCAGUCUGCUUUAAGAUUCUCUCCUUCUGUCUCUCCCCACACUCUUUCAUUACCAAAUAAAUCUUAGACCAAAAAAAAGAGGAGCUUCUUAUCCAAUGUUAUCAGUUAGUCCAAUUACUAUGGACAAAGCCCCAUAGUAUUUAGUGUUUAGGUAUAAUCUUGGAUUAUGUUAACACUUGCUGUUACUCAUUCAGUACAGUUUACAGUUAAUGGAAUUUCAAAUGUAACAUUCAGAUUCUUUCUUUACAAUCUGAUAAUGACAGGUCAAAAAAUGAAAUUCAACCAGGCUGAGGCAAAAGCUCCAGACAACAAGAGAAAUUCGUUUAUCUACAAAAAAACUAUUCUCUGUAAUACUCUUUUUAAAAAAAAAAUUACUUUUGACAGUCCAAGUAAGAGGUACAAGGUAUUUGGAAAAUCUCUCUGUAAUUUCACUCCAAGAAAAACAUACCAAUCACGGAAACACAAAUUUAAGAAGCUAUUCACUAGUAUAUUUAAUAGUGAAGUCUUUAAGACUGGUAAUGUCAGUGAAAAAUAUUCUUGCCCUUGCUUUUUUCUGUCUUUAAGAUUGCCUACAACAUUGGGAAUGUCUGGGGUUAGGUACACAGAAGCUCCCAAUUCUGUACACCUAUAUCUACAAUCUUCAGAUUAUCAGAGGAAGAAAGAGGCAAGCCAAAUGGACAGGUAGACAUCCUCUAACAAAGAUUAUAGCUUGCAUUAUAGCUUAUACCUUAUUUGAGUACUUGAAGUAGUAAUAUGGAAGGUACAGAUGAUUCUUAAUCUAAAGCAAUCCACUGAUAAACCCUUCUUAGAAAAUAUAUUUCCUUAAAGAAUGUAUAUCCCUCAUCAAGAAAUAAGGGAUUUAUUUUCUGGAUGAUUAGGCUCUUGCUUGGAUUUCUAGAGUAAAUGAUCAUACUUUAAAAUGUAUUUAGGUUGAGCCAUAGGAAAUUGCCACUUUUCGUGGGUCAAAAAUGGUCCAUUACUGGCAAUUUCCUAUGGCUUAACAUAACUGACUUACUUUCAGUCAACAGUUGAGUGCAACUUCAAAUUACUACCACUUGGCAAAGUUUAACUAUUAUAGACUGUGAUUACUACUUUAUUGCAAAUCCUGAAAUAAAACCCCAGUAUUAUCAAAGGUUGUAACUACUAUCCAUUCAAGAACACUUCCUAAUAACUAAAAAUUUUGAAAAGGAAUCACCAAAUUCACUAUACCAGAUAUCCUUUUAAAAGGUAUUGGGGAUCCAAACUGUUAACAGCAGAUAAAGGAAACUGAGUGAGGCUUCACACCAAACAUCUUUUGCCUUUUGGAAUUUUGUCAAACACACAGAUCUGGUUCAAAUUCAAGUUCCUUGAGGCCUUCUAGAAAAUCCAAGUGUAAAAGUCUGCUUUACCCUCAUCCCAACAGUCAUCCAACACAGGACUUACUUCAUUACAGCUAGUUGUCCAUUCAUCUGUCCUUAUAAACUAAGCUCAUUAUAGGCAUAGCCUAUGAGAAAACUAGGUUGGUUUCAACCUCAAAAAAGGGAGUAUCUGUGGGAAGACAAGUGGUACAAUUUCCCAAUCUAAAUGCAACAUUUAGUUUAUAUGCCAACUCUGUAGAGAUCUUUCUCAAGUUACACAUUCAACUCACAGAAAACAAUACCUACAAACACUUGUGACUUAGCAUGAUGAUGAUGGAUCCCAGCAACAAAAGAAUGGCUGACAUGGCGACCUGGAAUACAAAAAAAUACCAGCUACUUUGCCUCUUCCUCACUAGCUUAUUGUCAUCUGUUCUUAGAUUACUUACAUAUACCUGUAAUUUUUUUUUUUUUUUUUUUUUUUUUGCAAGAUCAUUCAAGUGACCUCCCUCAGCCUGGUUCUAAGUAAUGCCUGUUGGGUUUUCAUGAACUCACCAGUUUGAUGUGCUGCUUCUCAACUCCACAUGAAAAUACACAACUACUUAAAAACUGGUGUACUCCUACUAUAAUUUUACCAACAGUGACUGAGCUAUCAACAAAACCCAUUUACACCAUUUUGCAAAAGUCUUAAGCCCACUUGAAGCUUUAAAAAGGUGAUUCCAGGGCACAGUUGGGAGGGUAUGUGACUCACUCUCAGGGUUGAGAGUCACACACUGGGUGAUGCCAAACAAAAAUACUAGCCUUCCCAAGGUUUCAGGAAAAGAUUUUUGCCCCCAUGUAAUCUUAAUAAACUUGUGUGACUUCACGUAAGUAUACUGAACGUGAGGGCUGCACAAGACCUUUACUUUUGAUUUUGAGUAUCUUUUAGCAUGUCCUAACUUACCAGUAAGUUUUCCAAUAGCAACAUCUUACCUACUGGUGUAGUAGUAGCCAAAAAAGAUACACCCCUCAAAAUAAUUGGAAGACUACCUGAAUCAACAACGGUUACUACCUUCAGGGAGUGGGCCUUUUCACUUCUAAAUCAAAGUAUAUUGUAUUUACCCCAUGAAAAGCCUAUUAUAGGGAGUGUCUGGUGCUCACAGUCAGUUAAGCAUCCAUCUCAACUUCGGCUCAAGACAUGACCUCAAAGUUAUGAGCUCAAAGCAUCAGGCUCUGUGCUGGCCCUGUGAAGCCUGCUUAAGAUUCUCAUUCUCUGCUCCUCCCUCUUAGGAAAAAAAGGCAAGCCUAUUAUGGUUCUACAGUACACAAGCCAUGAGGUUUAGUCACUUGUAAAUAAUGAAAUCUUGAUACUUCUUUCCUAGAAUAUGGUUACUCUACUAAAGAACUUCUUGCAACUAUGCCCAUUUUCUGAGAUGGUUUUACAUUACUUUCUCAAUGAAAUAAUCUUUAUGAAAGGAUAUUAGUAAAAUCUAUUCUACAUGAAAGAAAACGAGAAAUCAUUUUUUAUUUAUACCAUAUUUACCAAUUUGGAAAUUAAUUCUCAUACCUUAUAAUUUAUCUAUAACCCUGUUACUGAAGAGAAGAAAAAAAGGCUAACAACUGUACUUCUAACCUUUAAUGAUUUAAAAAAGGUGUCUGUGGGUUAAGUUUUUAAAAAUCAGGAUAUGAAUUAUUUGAUACUGUUACUCAAAAUUCAAGAACUGCCCUAUUCAUACCACAUCUUCCUUAUAAAUUCUGUUACUAGGGUUUUAGGAAAAAGCAUGUUAAUACCAUCACAUCUUAACUUCAGUGAUAAUAAAUUUGAGGUUGGAGUUAUAUGGACACUCCCUGGCAAAUACAUUUUUAGCAGUACCUUGAAAUGUCUUUCAGUCAUUAUAAAUUAACUAAAAUCACUCAACAGUUUUAUGUAUAUAACAAAGAUUAUGCACAUAAAAAACACUUUUCAAAUACCAAAUGAGAGACAGAAAGGACUGUCUUUCUUGCUCAGUGGUCUAUGUAUUUCUAUUGCUGGGGGAACCCUCCACUGUAAAUCCAAAUGUAGAUUUACUUUACCCUCCAGUAAAUCCACAUUUGAUAUGACCUCACAUACAUCUGCAUAAUUAUUUUAUCAUUGUUACUCUGAACACACUUUAUGUGAAGUCUUUAUCGUCCUAAAAUUAAGCCAUGUGGCUAAAAUACAUACAAAAAAUACAAUCAUUAACAAUGACACCCUUCAAAAUUACUUGAGAAUCAGAAACCAAGUUAAUGGUCUACUAUUUAAAAACUGCUCACCAUAAUUAUUUUAUAAAAAUAACUUUUAAUAAAUUAUCAAAGGCCAAAACAAAAUUCUGGAUUUACCCCACUGCCUUCCAAAGGUUGCCUUUGAUAAGAUUAUAAAGACUUUACUAGUAUCAAAUGUAUGAUCAAUUCCCUAAGCCAAUCUAUUCUCACAAAGUUUUAAAUGCUAAGAUUUCAAAGGAUGCAUUACAAAAUGAUUAACCAAUUAAUAUGUUACUACUAUUUAUGAGCAAGUGUAAAUGCUUUUUAAAAAGCAAUCAACUAUUCUAGACUAUUACUAGCUCCAACUACUUUGCUACAUUUGGUAUAAAAAGUAGAAAGUUAAAAAUCAGCAAAUGGAAGAUCAAAGUUUAUUUACUACCUGCAUACAAAAACAUAUUGCACAUCAAACAACCAAAAUCAAAAAAAAAAAAAAAAAAAAAGAGAGAGAGAGAG